Molecule: ribosomal RNA, 930 nt
Filed under: uncultured beta proteobacterium
Lineage: Bacteria; Pseudomonadati; Pseudomonadota; Betaproteobacteria
Description: bacterial SSU rRNA
Rfam family: Bacterial small subunit ribosomal RNA
Source: RNAcentral
GGACGGCAGCAUUGCAUUCGUGCAGAUGGCGAGUGGCGAACGGGUGAGUAAUACAUCGGAACAUACCAUGAAGUUGGGGAUCACUCAUCGAAAGAUGAGCUAAUACCGAAUAAUCUCUGAGGAGGAAAGCUGGGGACUAGAAAUGGCCUGGCGCUUUUUGAGUGGCCGAUGGUCGAUUAGCUAGUUGGUGGGGUAAAGGCUUACCAAGGCAAUGAUCGAUAGCUGUUCUGAGAGGAAGAUCAGCCACACUGGGACUGAGACACGGCCCAGACUCCUACGGGAGGCAGCAGUGGGGAAUUUUGGACAAUGGGGGCAACCCUGAUCCAGCAACGCCGCGUGAAUGAAGAAGGCCUUAGGGUCGUGAAGUUCUUUUAUUUGGGGGCAAAGCUUGUGUGUUAAUAGCAUAUGGGGAUGAGAGUACCAAAAGAAUAAGCACCGGCUAACUACGUGCCAGCAGCCGCGGUAAUACGUAGGGUGCGAGCGUUAAUCGGAAUUAUUGGGCGUAAAGGGUGCGUAGGCGGAUAUAUAAGUUAGAUGUGAAAAGCCAGGGCUUAACCUUGGUCGUGCAUUUAAGACUGUAUGUCUAGAGUUUGUAAGAGGGGGGUAGAAUUCCAAGUGUAGCAGUGAAAUGCGUAGAGAUUUGGAGGAAUACCGAUGGCGAAGGCAGCCCCCUGGUAUAGAACUGACGCUGAGGCACGAAAGCGUGGGUAGCAAACAGGAUUAGAUACCCUGGUAGUCCACGCCCUAAACGAUGUUUACUUGCUGUUGGGAGCAAUCUUAGUAGCGAAGCUAACGCGAGAAGUAAACCGCCUGGGGAGUACGGUCGCAAGAUUAAAACUCAAAGGAAUUGACGGGGACCCGCACAAGCGGUGGAUGAUGUGGAUUAAUUCGAUGCAACGCGAAGAACCUUACCUGCUCUUGACAUGUCAG